Long non-coding RNA from Astatotilapia calliptera (eastern happy), 1308 nucleotides. The record is from Ensembl. NCBI's taxonomy places the organism in Eukaryota, Metazoa, Chordata, Actinopteri, Cichliformes, Cichlidae.
AGGAACAAGCUGAUAUCCAUGCCCAACGUGCUGGUGUGCUUCAUGCCCUCUCUGCCUAUUUGUACGACGACACCUCUAGCUUCAUCAUAACAUGAUGCAUUCUGAUAGACCAGAUAUUAGUGAAGUGCCACUUGGACUCCUGAUCAGAGCCAAUUCCAGCAAUGCAACAUUCUUCUGCCCUGAGAAGACUGCAGUUUUGGUCGAGGGUAACAUGAUCAUUGUUUUCACCACCCUAGCUGAUGGAUUUCUAGUAAUAUUUGGACUGACCUACGCCCUGCACCUAAGCUACCCAAAAUGUUUGGCCAACAUUUUUGACUUUAUUCAGAAAGUUUGGAUGGGUCUGAAGGGUGGGAAGUUGAAGCCCAAAGUGCUGAGUCUUAAAAAUGAUCUUUUGGCAGCAGAAUAAUGUCCAGGAUUCCUACACAGUCCUCAAGUGCCUGUUAAAGCAAGUAAUUCAGCUUAUCAUGUUUCAAAGUCUGGAUAAGUUUUUUUGUUUUGUUUUGUUUUGUUUUUUUAAAGAGAAUAGAAUAAAGAAAUCUUUGCACACUCUGUUUCAUACUUCAUCAUCUUAAAUCCACAUCCAAAGUAAAAGGGGUGAUUUUAUUUUAUUUAUUUUUUAUUUUUUUCCCCCAUCAUCACUUGUUUUAGUUGAUUUUGAUUGUGUUUUUAGUCAGAUAACUGUAAAUCCAUAGAGAAAAUGAAGGACAAUCUCACUACAUUUCUGGCUUCUAGGUGGGAUCUUGAAUGUCACUUAAGGAACGUUCCUCCUGAACUGCUCAUAACUGACAUAAGGCGCUAAGGAGGUUUAUAACACUGUUUUAUGUCUCUAAAGAAGUAUUUUUCUAUUUAAUGUUUUAUUGCUUUGUUGUUGAGACUGUGAUUGCACUCUACAAAUGUGCAUUUUGCAUAACCAGAGUACUGGCAUAUUAAAAAGGUUACCAAUUAUAUUUCAGUGUAUUAUACUGCACUAUACUAUACUAUUACUUUCAUUUGGUUUUCCCACAUAAUAAUGCAGGAUUUUCUUUUCCUUUUGUUUGUUUUUUAAUAAAAAGGUCAUACUCGUGUGUUAAUCAAAUCUGAAUACUCUUAAAACAUGUUGUGAAAUUCUUUAUUUCUAAUAUUGUAACCUUGUGCCAAAACUGGACAUUUCUGACAUUAUUCCCUAUAAAAUGUGGUGGAUUUAUGUCGUUGGACUUUUUGUUAGAAAUGCUAUGUGUUAAAGUAACUCAAAUUUGUAACUUGAAUUUAUAUUUUCUGUCUUAUGUUUUUACAAGUGUAAUUAUUUUGGGCACUUUUUUUAUAUCAAAU